RNAcentral lists this long non-coding RNA (753 nucleotides) under Rattus norvegicus (Norway rat). Its description in RNAcentral is "long non-coding RNA NONRATT024831". The record is from RNAcentral. Lineage: Eukaryota; Metazoa; Chordata; Mammalia; Rodentia; Muridae.
GAGAUAUGGAAUAUUUGCGCCCCCAUCCAGGGUACAGAGGCUGUCAGAUUCCCUGGAUACGCUUUCAGAAAUAUCUUCAAAUAAACAGAAUCAUUCUUAUCCUGGUUUUAGGAGAAGUUUCAGCACAACCUCUGCUUCUUCUCAAAAAGAGAUUAACAGGAGAAAUGCUUUUGCCAAGACUAAGACCACCCUGCGCCGCAGCUGGAGCAGUUCCACCACGGCGGGUGGUCUCGAGGGGACCGUGAAGCUCCACGAGGGGUCUCAGGUCCUGCUCACGAGCUCUAACGAAAUGGCCACCGUUAGGUACGUGGGUCCCACGGACUUUGCCUCUGGUAUCUGGCUUGGACUGGAGCUCCGAAGUGCCAAGGGGAAAAAUGACGGCGCCGUGGGUGACAAGCGCUAUUUCACCUGUAAGCCGAACUACGGAGUGCUGGUUAGACCAAGCCGAGUGACCUACCGAGGGAUUAACGGGUCAAAGCUCAUUGAUGAGAGCUGUUGAGUUAACCACAGAAAGCAUUGAGCUCCUCUGAGUAUGUCUAUGUGCUAGAUGAAAAUAGGGACUAUGACAAAGGGCUUACUUAACAGAAAAUAGAGUAAUCUUCAUAAAAAUCUCCAAAGGAACCCAAGUAUGAACUUUGAGGGUCAUGGUUUUGAAAAUAAUUUCAGAAUAAGCACUUUCUAAAAGUUUAGGUCCCAAGAAAAUUUGAGGACUCAAAAAAAUAAAUAAAUAAAUAAAAAAAGAAAAGAAAAAAU